UAGAAUACCCUGGUAGUCCACGCUGUAAACGAUGUCGAUUUGGGGGUUGAGCUUUGAGCUUGGCGCCCGUAGCUAACGUGAUAAAUCGACCGCCUGGGGAGUACGGCCGCAAGGUUAAAACUCAAAUGAAUUGACGGGGGCCCGCACAAGCGGUGGAGCAUGUGGUUUAAUUCGAUGCAACGCGAAGAACCUUACCUAUCUUGACAUCCAGAGAACUUUCCAGAGAUGGAUUGGUGCCUUCGGGAACUCU
This 250-nucleotide ribosomal RNA is filed under the name uncultured bacterium. Its description in RNAcentral is "partial 16S ribosomal RNA". It matches the Rfam family "Bacterial small subunit ribosomal RNA", at positions 778 to 1030 of the family's 1533-position model. The record is from RNAcentral.